RNAcentral lists this long non-coding RNA (624 nucleotides) under Mytilus galloprovincialis (Mediterranean mussel). Lineage: Eukaryota; Metazoa; Mollusca; Bivalvia; Mytilida; Mytilidae. The record is from RNAcentral.
AUUAUAUUGUGUUUAAAGUUAGAAGAUUAAAUCAAGAGAUACUUUAUUCAAACAAAACUUUUAAGGUUACUGCAAUGCAUUACAAUGAAAUUUCUAUUAAACGGUAAACGAUAAUUCUAUCAAAAGUUAACUUGCCCAUUUACAAUAAUUCAUGUUAUUGCUGUAGAUGCAAAAGGUAUAGAAUAAAAUUUCACCUGUAUUUUAUGGUACUUGAUAUUGUUUUUAUAUUUUAAAAGAAUUGGACAAGUGAUGCUGUAAUUAUCAUCCAGAAAUUAGAGUUGUAACGGACAGACAGACGGACAGAUAGAUAUGUGUAAUACAAUUGAUAUAACCUUCAAGUUGUAGACUUCUACAUACUAGUAUAUCAUUGGAUAAAAGUGAACACCCUGCCACUGUAUAUUUUACACACGGGCAAUGAGAGUGCUAUGUUUCAAAUAUACGGUUAGUAGUAAAGUUAGGACCCUUUAAAAAAUACCCAGAAUAUCAUUGAAAUCUUAUCCUGUAACUGUAAUCAGAAUAUUGCAUGUUGUCAUGCAGUAUUAUAUUGUUAUUGUUAAAUUUAGUUUUUGUUUAAACCGGUGCAAGUGUGUUUCAACAAAUAGAAGACUUGGUCAGUGUAAUAGU